GAUGAACGCUGGCGGCGUGCCUAAUACAUGCAAGUCGAGCGAACAGACGAGGAGCUUGCUCCUCUGACGUUAGCGGCGGACGGGUGAGUAACACGUGGAUAACCUACCUAUAAGACUGGGAUAACUUCGGGAAACCGGAGCUAAUACCGGAUAAUAUAUUGAACCGCAUGGUUCAAUAGUGAAAGACGGUUUUGCUGUCACUUAUAGAUGGAUCCGCGCCGCAUUAGCUAGUUGGUAAGGUAACGGCUUACCAAGGCGACGAUGCGUAGCCGACCUGAGAGGGUGAUCGGCCACACUGGAACUGAGACACGGUCCAGACUCCUACGGGAGGCAGCAGUAGGGAAUCUUCCGCAGUGGGCGAAAGCCUGACGGAGCAACGCCGCGUGAGCGAUGAAGGUCUUCGGAUCGUAAAACUCUGUUAUUAGGGAAGAACAAAUGUGUAAGUAACUAUGCACGUCUUGACGGUACCUAAUCAGAAAGCCACGGCUAACUACGU
Molecule: ribosomal RNA, 496 nt
Filed under: uncultured bacterium
Lineage: Bacteria
Description: partial 16S ribosomal RNA
Rfam family: Bacterial small subunit ribosomal RNA
Source: RNAcentral